AAUUAAUUUUCAUUUUCAGAACGCGGCCGACGUAUGGAGUGGACCCGAAACGAAAAACGUCGUUUACUGACUUAAUAUAUUGCAGUAACGCGGCGGACACGGGAUGGAUUGAAUCCGGAACGAGGGGCGUCGCGAGUGAUAUAAUUAUAACGCGGCUUACAUCUUACACGAAAUGAAUCGGCUGCGGAACGAGAAACAUCACGAUUCAUCCCGGGAAUCCUAUACGCAUCCUGUGCAGUUGAUAAUCGG
Molecule: long non-coding RNA, 249 nt
Organism: Wasmannia auropunctata (little fire ant)
Lineage: Eukaryota; Metazoa; Arthropoda; Insecta; Hymenoptera; Formicidae
Exons: 3
Source: RefSeq, a predicted model, not a curated record